CAACAAUCUACAAAGAAAAACAACUUUAUUUCAAAUGUAGGAGCCAUAUCCUCUGUGAAUGUGUGACCAGUCAAGUGGGGAGGAUUUGUGGGAGGAGACUGAGAAGACACACCCCCAGCAUGUUGUAGUCCUACACAUGAACCAGCACAGGGGGCGGCUACUUUUCAGCACACAUAGGGACCAUGGAGAAGAAAAGUAACCACGCUCUGGCAGGAAG
Nanorana parkeri is the source of this 217-nucleotide long non-coding RNA. RefSeq lists it as uncharacterized. The record is from RefSeq and is a predicted model, not a curated record. The transcript is spliced from 2 exons. NCBI's taxonomy places the organism in Eukaryota, Metazoa, Chordata, Amphibia, Anura, Dicroglossidae.